GAUGAACGCUGGCGGCGUGCCUAAUACAUGCAAGUAGAACGCUGAAGGAAGGAGCUUGCUCUUUCCGGAUGAGUUGCGAACGGGUGAGUAACGCGUAGGUAACCUGCCUGGUAGCGGGGGAUAACUAUUGGAAACGAUAGCUAAUACCGCAUAACAGUAGAUGUUGCAUGAUAUCUACUUAAAAGGUGCAAUUGCUCCACUACCAGAUGGACCUGCGUUGUAUUAGCUAGUUGGUGAGGUAACGGCUCACCAAGGCGACGAUACAUAGCCGACCUGAGAGGGUGAUCGGCCACACUGGGACUGAGACACGGCCCAGACUCCUACGGGAGGCAGCAGUAGGGAAUCUUCGGCAAUAGACGGAAGUCUGACCGAGCAACGCCGCGUGAGUGAAGAAGGUUUUCGGAUCGUAAAGCUCUGUUGUAAGAGAAGAACGAGUGUGAGAGUGGAAAGUUCACACUGUGACGGUAUCUUACCAGAAAGGGACGGCUAACUACGUG
RNAcentral lists this ribosomal RNA (497 nucleotides) under uncultured bacterium. RNAcentral's name for it is "partial 16S ribosomal RNA". It matches the Rfam family "Bacterial small subunit ribosomal RNA", at positions 28 to 507 of the family's 1533-position model. The record is from RNAcentral.